RNAcentral lists this ribosomal RNA (366 nucleotides) under uncultured eukaryote. RNAcentral's name for it is "partial 18S ribosomal RNA". It matches the Rfam family "Eukaryotic small subunit ribosomal RNA", at positions 592 to 976 of the family's 1831-position model. The record is from RNAcentral.
CAAUAGCGUAUAUUAACGUUGUUGCAGUUAAAAAGCUCGUAGUUGGAUUUCUGGAGGGAGCGUCGGCCCGUAUUUACGAGUGCGUGACGUCUCUGUCCAUCCUUGCUGGAAGGCACGGCAUUGAUUUGUUGUGUCGGAUCGCAUCAUUUACUGUGAAAAAAUUAGAGUGUUCAAAGCAGGCUUUCGCUUGAAUACAUUAGCAUGGAAUAAUAAGAUAGGACUUUGGUGCUAUUUUGUUGGUUGAGCCUAAAGUAAUGAUUAAUAGGGAUAGUUGGGGGCACCUGUAUUGCGUUGUCAGAGGUGAAAUUCUUGGAUUUACGCAAGACAAACAGCUGCGAAAGCGUCUGCCAAGGAUGUUUUCAUUAA